Salvia miltiorrhiza (redroot sage) is the source of this 1007-nucleotide long non-coding RNA. RefSeq lists it as uncharacterized. The transcript is spliced from 3 exons. NCBI's taxonomy places the organism in Eukaryota, Viridiplantae, Streptophyta, Magnoliopsida, Lamiales, Lamiaceae. The record is from RefSeq and is a predicted model, not a curated record.
UGCAAAAUUGAAAUUUUUUCUGGUUAUACUCUUGUCUCUCUUUUAAGUUUUAGAAGAUAAAUGUUGUCUAGUUUUCUCUUACAUGAGUGAAAAUGUAUCGAGCUAGCACAUUUAUCACGUAGAAUUUUGAGCCCUCUCUCGUAUCAUUUGCUACAAUGGCAGCUUCCCAUAUAGCAAAAGAUACGAGGAAGGUAGGCUGGUUCAAUCCACUGAAGCAGCCGCCGAAGAAAAGCUGGAUAUGGGUCCCUUAAAUGGUUGUACCAACGGCAACAAGACAUUUUAAUCGAAUGUCGAGAUCCAACAAUCUUUGAGGAAAGAGAUAUUGACGCUCAAAAAGAGAUUACAAGACCAAGUUUCUGUUCGCGGUGCUCUCGAGAGGGCGCUUGGUUAUCAAGCUUCUUCACAUGACAUUACUAGUGAAGCCACAAUUCCAAAGGUUGCUGGCCUCUCUUUUACCAAAUUUUUCUACUCUUUCUAUUCUUUUAUCGAUUGCACUUUGCUCGAUCUCCUGAAAUAUUUUAGGAAACUGAACUUUUCUCGUAGGUCUUCUUACUAAUAAGUUUAUUUGCUUUCCAUCCUGCAACAUAACUCAUUCGAGAAAUUUCAGUUUUGGAGCUAGAAGUAGGGCAUCUCGAACAAUAUCUUCUUUCACUCUACAGGAAAGCAUUUGAUCCACAAGUUUCUACUGUAUCUCCGUUAAAGAAAGAUGAAGGAUUCAAAUCGCCCUUAACAACGCCAAGGAGAAGGCGCUUAGAUUUUUCAACAUCAUAUAUUACACCAGCUAGGGAAUCUACACAAGUUGUUGAAUUAUGUAAUUUUUUUUCUACAAUUUUAGUUUGAGAUUACUACUUAUUUGAUUUUUGGAGAGGGAGUGUGUGGUAUACGAGGAAUUAACUGAGGAAGAUCAUUGCUGUUUGUGUUGUUUCUGGAUUGAUGCUUUGUUAUCUGUACAAUUUUUUAGUUUUGUUUUUUUGUGAAUAAUAAUUUACAUUUGCUUAUGUUUUAAA